GACGAACGCUGGCGGCGUGCUUAACACAUGCAAGUCGAACGGAAAGGCCCUGCUUUUGUGGGGUGCUCGAGUGGCGAACGGGUGAGUAACACGUGAGUAACCUGCCCUUGACUUUGGGAUAACUUCAGGAAACUGGGGCUAAUACCGGAUAGGAGCUCCUGCUGCAUGGUGGGGGUUGGAAAGUUUCGGCGGUUGGGGAUGGACUCGCGGCUUAUCAGCUUGUUGGUGGGGUAGUGGCUUACCAAGGCUUUGACGGGUAGCCGGCCUGAGAGGGUGACCGGCCACAUUGGGACUGAGGUGCGGCCCAGACUACUACGGGAGGAAGCAGUGGAGAGUAUUGCACAAUGGGAGGAGGACUGAUGCAGCAACGCCGCGGGCGGGAUGAAGGCAUUCGAGUGGUAGACCGCUUUCGCUUGUGACGAAGCGUGAGUGACGGUAAUUGGUAAAGAAGCACCGGCUAACUACGUG
This 468-nucleotide ribosomal RNA is filed under the name uncultured bacterium. RNAcentral's name for it is "partial 16S ribosomal RNA". It matches the Rfam family "Bacterial small subunit ribosomal RNA", at positions 28 to 507 of the family's 1533-position model. The record is from RNAcentral.